This 615-nucleotide ribosomal RNA is filed under the name uncultured delta proteobacterium. RNAcentral's name for it is "bacterial SSU rRNA". It matches the Rfam family "Bacterial small subunit ribosomal RNA", at positions 52 to 638 of the family's 1533-position model. Lineage: Bacteria; Deltaproteobacteria. The record is from RNAcentral.
UACCAUGCAAGUCGUACGAGAACUCUUCUGCUUGCAGAAGAUAGUAAAGUGGCGCACGGGUGAGUAACGCGUGGGUAAUCUACCUUCGACUCGGGGAUAACAUUGCGAAAGCGAUGCUAAUACCGGAUGACAUCCUGACACCUUCGGGUGUUUGGAUCAAAGGUGGUCUCUACAUGUAAGCUAUUGAUCGAAGAUGAGCCCGCGUACCAUUAGCUUGUUGGUAGGGUAAUGGCCUACCAAGGCAGCGAUGGUUAGCUGGUCUGAGAGGAUGAUCAGCCACACUGGAACUGACACACGGUCCAGACUCCUACGGGAGGCAGCAGUGAGGAAUUUUGCGCAAUGGGGGAAACCCUGACGCAGCAACGCCGCGUGAGUGAUGAAGGCUUUCGGGUCGUAAAGCUCUGUCGAGUGGGAAGAACAAGCCUGAUGCCAAUAUCAUCAGGAACUGACGGUACCACUGAAGGAAGCACCGGCUAACUCCGUGCCAGCAGCCGCGGUAAUACGGGGGGUGCAAGCGUUAUUCGGAAUUAUUGGGCGUAAAGGGCGCGUAGGCGGCUUUGUAAGUCAGAUGUGAAAUCCCGGGGCUUAACCCCGGAAGUGCAUUUGAAACUAUAG